This 467-nucleotide ribosomal RNA is filed under the name Bacillus sp. R-45787. RNAcentral's name for it is "bacterial SSU rRNA". It matches the Rfam family "Bacterial small subunit ribosomal RNA", at positions 24 to 482 of the family's 1533-position model. The record is from RNAcentral. Lineage: Bacteria; Bacillati; Bacillota; Bacilli; Caryophanales; Bacillaceae.
UCAGGAUGAACGCUGGCGGCGUGCCUAAUACAUGCAAGUCGAGCGAAUGGAUUAAGAGCUUGCUCUUAUGAAGUUAGCGGCGGACGGGUGAGUAACACGUGGGUAACCUACCCAUAAGACUGGGAUAACUCCGGGAAACCGGGGCUAAUACCGGAUAAUAUUUUGAACUGCAUAGUUCGAAAUUGAAAGGCGGCUUCGGCUGUCACUUAUGGAUGGACCCGCGUCGCAUUAGCUAGUUGGUGAGGUAACGGCUCACCAAGGCGACGAUGCGUAGCCGACCUGAGAGGGUGAUCGGCCACACUGGGACUGAGACACGGCCCAGACUCCUACGGGAGGCAGCAGUAGGGAAUCUUCCGCAAUGGACGAAAGUCUGACGGAGCAACGCCGCGUGAGUGAUGAAGGCUUUCGGGUCGUAAAACUCUGUUGUUAGGGAAGAACAAGUGCUAGUUGAAUAAGCUGGCACCUGA